CAGUAGCCGCGGUAAUACGUAGGGUGCGAGCGUUAAUCGGAAUUACUGGGCGUAAAGCGUGCGCAGGCGGUUGUGUAAGACAGGUGUGAAAUCCCCGGGCUUAACCUGGGAACUGCGCUUGUGACUGCACAGCUAGAGUAUGGCAUAGGGGGGUGGAAUUCCACGUGUAGCAGUGAAAUGCGUAGAGAUGUGGAGGAACACCGAUGGCGAAGGCAGCCCCCUGGGCCAAUACUGACGCUCAUGCACGAAAGCGUGGGGAGCAAACAGGAUUAGAUACCCCGGUAGUCCCUGUCUCUUAUAC
RNAcentral lists this ribosomal RNA (301 nucleotides) under uncultured bacterium. RNAcentral describes it as "partial 16S ribosomal RNA". It matches the Rfam family "Bacterial small subunit ribosomal RNA", at positions 509 to 807 of the family's 1533-position model. The record is from RNAcentral.